ACACAUUAUUACAGUAUAAAAUAUAAUAAUCUUUAUAUUUGGGUGGGUGGUAGUUAGGCUAUGAUCAAUUGUUUGUGCCUCUAAAAAAAUGGCGUCAGUCACCAGUGCCUGGGUCAUCCACCACCCCCACCUCAAAUUUCGCGAAUUCAAGAAAUCAUUUUCUAUCUCCUCUUGGUCCCGCAUUAAUUCUCAUGCAUCAUCUUCUUCAACUAAACUCUUCCCUAAACUGCAAUUCAGUGGAAGAAGAAGAAAUUUUAUCAUGGAAAAUCCUUCAAUUUACUGUCUUGAAACUUCAUUAUUACUUAAUAAAGUGAAUUCCCAGAAGAAAGAGGAUUACCCUGUUGAGCAUGAUGCUAUUGAACCAGAGGUCUUUGCAUGGUCUUCUGUAAUUUUACCGUUUCUAUUCCCUGCACUAGGUGGUAUGCUAUUUGGGUAUGAUAUUGGUGCUACUUCUGGAGCUACAAUAUCACUACAGUCUCCUGAGCUUAGUGGUGCAGCAUGGUUCAAUCUUUCAGCAGUUCAACAGGGUUUGGUGGUGAGUGGCUCACUGUAUGGAGCUCUUUUUGGUUCUAUUAUCGUCUAUCCAAUAGCUGACUUCCUUGGAAGGAAGCGAGAACUACUAAUCGCUGCAGCUCUCUAUGCAAUUGGUGGCCUUACCACCGCAUUUGCUCCUAGUCUUAAUAUUCUUUUGAUUGGAAGGUUUCUUUUUGGCCUUGGCAUUGGUUGGGCUAUGCAUGGGGCCCCUCUUUACAUUGCAGAAACUUGUCCUUCUCAGAUUCGAGGAACCUUGAUUUCGUUGAAAGAACUCUUCAUAGUUCUUGGCAUUUUGUUGGGUUACUUUGUUGGUAACUUUAAUAUUGAUGUGGUUGGAGGCUGGCGUUACAUGUUUGGGUUGAGUCUUCCGGUUGCUGCAGUUAUGGGUCUUGGGAUGUUAACUCUGCCUACUUCACCUCGCUGGUUGCUUCUUAGGGGUGUUAAAGGUCAAGGAUCUUUGCAGGAGUACAAGGAGCGGGCUAUUGCUGCUCUGAGCAAACUACGAGGCAGACCCGCUGGGGAUAAAAUGUCUGAAAAGCAAAUUGAGGAUACACUAGUUUCAAUGAAGUCUUCUUACCAAGAUCAGGAAGAGGGAAGCUUUUUAGAGGUGUUUCAAGGGCCUAAUCUGAAAGCUUUCAUCAUCGGUGGAGGUCUCGUACUUUUCCAGCAGAUAACUGGGCAGCCUAGUGUUUUGUAUUAUGCUGGUCAAAUCCUACAGAGUGCUGGGUUUUCUGUUGCAUCCGAUGCCACUCGAGUUUCAGUGUUGAUUGGCCUAUUCAAGUUUGUUAUGACAGGAGUAGCUGUUCUUAAGGUUGAUGAUCUUGGAAGGAAACCCUUGUUAAUAGGAGGUGUUAGUGGGAUUGCCGUGUCCUUGUUCCUCCUUGCUGCAUAUUACAAGUUUCUUGGAGGCCUCCCUUUUGUUGCUGUAGCUGCUUUGCUGCUUUAUGUCGGUAGUUAUCAAGUAUCAUUUGGUCCAAUCAGUUGGCUAAUGGUGUCAGAGAUAUUCCCUGUUCGCACAAGAGGACGAGGAAUCAGUCUUGCUGUUUUAACAAACUUUGGUUCAAAUGCUCUUGUGACUUUUGCCUUUUCACCAUUGAAGGAGUUGCUUGGAGCUGAUAACCUAUUCCUCUUAUUUGGAGCAAUUGCUUUGCUGUCUCUUGUAUUUAUAUUGACGUUGGUACCGGAGACCAAGGGCUUAAGUCUGGAAGAAAUCGAGGCAAAAUUAUCGGAAUGAGAUUUGGUUCAGAUGCUACAUGAUAAGAAAAUUCAUUUUGUGGCAGUCCAAGAAGAUGGGAGCACACUUUUUCUUUCUUUAUAUUGCACCCUGGGAGAGGGCUUCCAAUUUCGGAAAGCAGAACAACUGAAGCCAGAUUAUAGUUUUGCAAGAGUCUAGACCAGUCUAGAGCUGCUGUCUUCAAAUUGCCGGUCAAUGCAGGGUGUACGGGGUGCAGUCGGUGAUAUUCGUACUAUGAAGGCUGGAGGUUAAAGAAAUAUCAAGUGGAUGUUACGAUAAUUGGGCAGCCUAGUCUCUUUGCGUUAUGUUGGUUAAACAAUACAGGAUGAGGUGAGAUAACUGGGGUUACUGAGCAGCCUAGUGUCUUGGAUUAUGCUAGUUAAAUCCAACAGGGGGUAGCCAGUUUUCACUUAAAAUACAAUGCAUCAUUUGACAUAUUCCAAUGUAUCUCUCGGCUGCACGGAGGAAUGUUAAUGAAUUCUGUAUGUCCAAGAUAACUGGGCAGCCAAGUAUCUUGGAAUCUUGGAUGAUGCAGUUAAUCGGACUUAAUCCUACAGUGCGAACUGUGUAUGACAUUGUAACAAACAGAGAAGAUGAGCAUCCUACGGUUCUAUGACCGUGCACAAGGAUUGAAUCAAUGCUACAUACAAAACUAGCAGAUGCAGAGAUAGGUGAGGGUGGAAAUUGUUGGGGUAGU
Molecule: RNA transcript, 2465 nt
Organism: Chenopodium quinoa (quinoa)
Lineage: Eukaryota; Viridiplantae; Streptophyta; Magnoliopsida; Caryophyllales; Amaranthaceae
Gene name: D-xylose-proton symporter-like 3, chloroplastic
Exons: 20
Source: RefSeq, a predicted model, not a curated record